Molecule: small RNA, 568 nt
Filed under: Pongo abelii (Sumatran orangutan)
Lineage: Eukaryota; Metazoa; Chordata; Mammalia; Primates; Hominidae
Description: retained intron
Source: RNAcentral
GGGUUCCUGAGUGGAACAUGGCGACUUGCGCCGAAAUCCUGCGGAGCGAGUUCCCCGAAAUUGACGGACAAGUCUUCGACUACGUGACCGGCGUCUUGCACAGCGGCAGCGCGGACUUCGAGUCUGUGGAUGACCUAGUGGAAGCUGUAGGGGAACUAUUGCAAGAGGUGUCCGGGGACAGCAAGGAUGACGCGGGCAUCAGGGCCGUGUGCCAGCGCAUGUACAACACUCUGCGUCUGGCUGAGCCACAAAGCCAGGGAAAUAGCCAGGUGCUACUGGACGCCCCUAUCCAGUUGUCAAAGAUAACGGAGAACUACGGGAGAAGGUGACUGCUUUUCUUAUCGCUUACAGACUGUGGAACCAAACUUCCAGGACUGCUAAAGAGGGAACAGUCCUCGGUGAGGAGGAGGAAGCAAGGGAGGGGACUGUAUGUGAUGGGGUUGGGAGUUGACUGUCUAAUUGCAGUAUCUUUUUGGGGGAUUUCUGACUAUGUCUUUUCCUAAGCCUUUGAGUCUGUUCAUCAUGGGUAAGUUAAGAGGGUUUACUCGAGAUGUUCUCUCUUGGGGUU